AGUGUCUGGUGGGUAGUUUGACUGGGGCGGUCUCCUCCUAAAGAGUAACGGAGGAGCACGAAGGUUGGCUAAUCCUGGUCGGACAUCAGGAGGUUAGUGCAAUGGCAUAAGCCAGCUUGACUGCGAGCGUGACGGCGCGAGCAGGUGCGAAAGCAGGUCAUAGUGAUCCGGUGGUUCUGAAUGGAAGGGCCAUCGCUCAACGGAUAAAAGGUACUCCGGGGAUAACAGGCUGAUACCGCCCAAGAGUUCAUAUCGACGGCGGUGUUUGGCACCUCGAUGUCGGCUCAUCACAUCCUGGGGCUGAAGUAGGUCCCAAGGGUAUGGCUGUUCGCCAUUUAAAGUGGUACGCGAGCUGGGUUUAGAACGUCGUGAGACAGUUCGGUCCCUAUCUGCCGUGGGCGCUGGAGAACUGAGGGGGGCUGCUCCUAGUACGAGAGGACCGGAGUGGACGCAUCACUGGUGUUCGGGUUGUCAUGCCAAUGGCACUGCCCGGUAGCUAAAUGCGGAAGAGAUAAGUGCUGAAAGCAUCUAAGCACGAAACUUGCCCCGAGAUGAGUUCUCCCUGAGACUUUAGGUCUCCUGAAGGAACGUUGAAGACGACGACGUUGAUAGGCCGGGUGUGUAAGCGCAG
RNAcentral lists this ribosomal RNA (631 nucleotides) under Salmonella enterica subsp. enterica serovar Indiana. RNAcentral describes it as "partial 23S ribosomal RNA". It matches the Rfam family "Bacterial large subunit ribosomal RNA", at positions 2253 to 2878 of the family's 2925-position model. Lineage: Bacteria; Pseudomonadati; Pseudomonadota; Gammaproteobacteria; Enterobacterales; Enterobacteriaceae. The record is from RNAcentral.